This 271-nucleotide ribosomal RNA is filed under the name uncultured bacterium. RNAcentral's name for it is "partial 16S ribosomal RNA". It matches the Rfam family "Bacterial small subunit ribosomal RNA", at positions 524 to 794 of the family's 1533-position model. The record is from RNAcentral.
GACGAACCGUGCGAACGUUGUUCGGAAUCACUGGGCUUAAAGGGCGCGUAGGCGGCUUGCCAAGUCAAGGGUGAAAUCUUUCGGCUCAACCGGAAAAGUGCCUUUGAUACUGGCAGGCUUGAGGGAGGUAGGGGCAUGUGGAACUCUCGGUGGAGCGGUGAAAUGCGUUGAUAUCGGGAGGAACGCCGGUGGCGAAAGCGACGUGCUGGACCUCUUCUGACGCUGAGGCGCGAAAGCUAGGGGAGCGAACGGGAUUAGAUACCCUGGUAGU